Molecule: long non-coding RNA, 1239 nt
Organism: Cottoperca gobio
Lineage: Eukaryota; Metazoa; Chordata; Actinopteri; Perciformes; Bovichtidae
Exons: 2
Source: RefSeq, a predicted model, not a curated record
CCACGGCUGAAGUUGGCCUGGGCCCUUCUGUCUUCUAACAUUAUUAUUAGGCAUCUAAUCCCAAUAAUGGCCUGAGAUUGAGUCUUGUAAAGCAGUAUUACUUAUUGGAGUGUCUUUAACUGCUAUUUUAUUUUCUAACCCAAAUUUACAUAUCAAACAACUGAAGGAUGACGUUAUUUUGCGUAACUCAUUUUAGAUUUAAAGCAAUUGAAGGUUAAGCUGAGUCUAUCAGAAUUGUCCAUUUUUGCUACUAUAUGUCAGACCUGUUUCAGCUUGAUAGACGUUUUCUUUUACUAUUACUAUUAAGGAUCUCUACAUGUGUCACAAUCUGUUUCUCUUCUUAUGUGCUGCACCUCUGUAUUGUUCCACUCACCCCGCCUCCACCUCACCAGCCAGUUACUCCCACCUCAUCAGCUCACCUGGGCUCCAGCUGCAUCUCAUCUUCAAUCAAGCCAGUAUUCUUUUUUUCUUCUUCUGGGAACUCCUUCUCCAAACAUUAAAGAGACAUGGAUAAAGGAUACAGCUGAGGAGAUUUCAAAUGAGUUAUCGUCGGAAGAGUUAGAUAGGAUCAAAGGAAUGCUAGAUUUAAACUUUUUCAGUUUUAAAAUGAUAUAGCUUCACUUUUCCAAGACAAACUAAACAGAAUCUUUUCUUAUUUCUCUGUUACCUGUGAUAAGUGUGAGUCAGGUGACUGGACUUUAGGUCAUCUUUUCUGGUCUUGGCAUAAACUCAAGAGUGUCCGGAAUGAUAUUUUUUUAUUUGUACAUAUACAGUAAACAGCUAAUCUAUUGUGAUAUUACACUGUAGGCUAUCGCAAUCAUCAUCUAAGUGACAUGCAUGUAAAAAGAAAUCUCUGCAAACUGGCUAUUUGUUUUACAUUGUCAAGUCUAGUUGUUUUUUAUCUUUUGUGUUAUAAAAAAAGGAAAAUAAUACUUAAACAUGUAUUUAAAGAGAACUGUUCUCCAUUGCAAUAAAUACUCUGAACACUUCCACUAACCAUGACAGAUGUUCUGCAUAUUUAGCAAUUUUGUAAAUAUUGUCUGUGAAUUUCGUCUUGUGGUAAUAUAUGAAAAUGUCUGUUGUGUUAGUCAUGUGUCUAAUCUGAUGUUGAUAUUUCUCUAAAUGUGAUGUUACUGACAUUGCUCUAAUGAGUUUACCCAACGUGCUGUACGGAAAGCAAAUUGCACAAACCUUGUGUGGUCAUUAAUAAUAAAUGUUUGAAUGAAUGAUUGAAAAUGA